GGGUGAGUAAUGCCUAGGAAUCUGCCUGGUAGUGGGGGACAACGUUUCGAAAGGAACGCUAAUACCGCAUACGUCCUACGGGAGAAAGCAGGGGACCUUCGGGCCUUGCGCUAUCAGAUGAGCCUAGGUCGGAUUAGCUAGUUGGUGAGGUAAUGGCUCACCAAGGCGACGAUCCGUAACUGGUCUGAGAGGAUGAUCAGUCACACUGGAACUGAGACACGGUCCAG
RNAcentral lists this ribosomal RNA (227 nucleotides) under uncultured Pseudomonadales bacterium. RNAcentral describes it as "partial 16S ribosomal RNA". It matches the Rfam family "Bacterial small subunit ribosomal RNA", at positions 104 to 334 of the family's 1533-position model. Lineage: Bacteria; Pseudomonadati; Pseudomonadota; Gammaproteobacteria; Pseudomonadales. The record is from RNAcentral.